UGAUGGCACUGUUGAUGGCCUGGUCGAUGACGUGAGGCUGGAUCAGCUCGCCUGCUCCUCCGUCAUAAGAGAGGUCCGACAGACGUUUGUCACCUGAAGAGAAAGAGAGACAGAAGGGCAGGGUGAGCGAUAAAAGUCUUCGUCUUUUCUGUGCGGAUGGAAAAGCUGCAGGGACGCGGGAGGUCGCCGCACUACAAGCCGGAUGAUGCGGCGUCUCCGGGGCGGAGAACGAUCCAGCAGCCUGUGGGGAGGGUUUCACAGCAGAGUGACACUCCAUCUCUCCAUGCUCCCCCUGCCCCACCGACUUCUGGCGCUCUGAUCGAACAAGAGCCUUUCAGACUCAGCCUGCCAGCUCCGUAAUGCACCAUUGCCUAGGUCAAUUUGAUCUGAAAAUCUCAUUUUUUCCUCUUCUUCGUCUCUAAAAUAAGAGCGGCACAUCACAAUGCAAAUUCAGCCUCAUUUGAAUAAAGCGAAGGAAACACUUUGUGUUGAGAGCCAGUCUUCCUGAUCAGCGCUUCUGGAAUAAACCAAUAUCCAUCCUC
Oreochromis niloticus (Nile tilapia) is the source of this 542-nucleotide long non-coding RNA. RefSeq lists it as uncharacterized. NCBI's taxonomy places the organism in Eukaryota, Metazoa, Chordata, Actinopteri, Cichliformes, Cichlidae. The record is from RefSeq and is a predicted model, not a curated record. The transcript is spliced from 2 exons.